ACUCCUACGGGAGGCAGCAGUGGGGAAUUUUGGACAAUGGGCGCAAGCCUGAUCCAGCAAUGCCGCGUGCAGGAAGAAGGCCUUCGGGUUGUAAACUGCUUUUGUACGGAACGAAACGGUCUGGGUUAAUACCUCGGGCUAAUGACGGUACCGUAAGAAUAAGCACCGGCUAACUACGUGCCAGCAGCCGCGGUAAUACGGAGGGUGCAAGCGU
RNAcentral lists this ribosomal RNA (214 nucleotides) under uncultured bacterium. RNAcentral describes it as "partial 16S ribosomal RNA". It matches the Rfam family "Bacterial small subunit ribosomal RNA", at positions 335 to 541 of the family's 1533-position model. The record is from RNAcentral. RNAcentral also lists the same sequence under 1 other name.